UAAAAGGUUCUUGCUCUCUAGUGAGAUCUGAGACAGGCUAAGAACCACAUUUAUUAAAAUAAAAAUAUAUU
Non-coding RNA from Meleagris gallopavo (turkey), 71 nucleotides. The record is from Rfam. Lineage: Eukaryota; Metazoa; Chordata; Aves; Galliformes; Phasianidae.